This is a non-coding RNA of Vicugna pacos (alpaca), 692 nucleotides long. The record is from RefSeq and is a predicted model, not a curated record. NCBI's taxonomy places the organism in Eukaryota, Metazoa, Chordata, Mammalia, Artiodactyla, Camelidae.
AUGAAAGUUCUCGAGGACCCAGCACUCCUGGGUUGAUCCCCAUCCCUCCUGGUUCCCCCUCAGCCUAGCCACCUAGUUUCAGAUGGAAUAGAAACGUUCCAAUCUAAAAAAGAACCUUCUUCUUACCUUGAUGCCCCCCUUCCACAGCCCCUAUCUCUGCCAGUUUUCAGGUAUAAUAGAUGCACAUUGAAUUGGGGGGUGGUUAGUUCUACAUUGUGAGUUCACAUAAAUUGGAUUCUUGUAUAGGCAAUGGAAUGCUAUGGAUAUCAAGUGAUACUGACCCUUGUGCUUGGUAAUGUCUAGAGGCAGCUUUACACUAACCAUCUUUUUAUGAUACAGGCAGAAUCUGUGAACAGCAAAAGUCUCUGUGCUGCUGUUGACCCUGAUAUCCCCAGAAGGGAUAAUGCAGGUGCCAGAACUCCACUGAGGCAGAUAUUGGACUUUCAGUUCCCAGUGUCCUAGACAUGAAGUGUGAUGCCAUCCACCUCAGCAUGCCGUCAUUCCCCAUGGCUAUCAUCAAAGAGCAGUUGGGACAGACCCCUCUCCAUCUACUAAGAACAUUUGGCAAAGGAGGAAACAGUGACACUCCUGCUUCCGCUGUGUGAUGUUGUGGUUAAGUGCAGGGCUGUGGUGUUAGACUACCUGGGAUCAAAUUACAGCUCCACAAAAUAGCCACUGGUGUGACUUUGGGU